Molecule: long non-coding RNA, 309 nt
Organism: Pistacia vera
Lineage: Eukaryota; Viridiplantae; Streptophyta; Magnoliopsida; Sapindales; Anacardiaceae
Exons: 3
Source: RefSeq, a predicted model, not a curated record
AUGUAAUUUGAUGUUUAAGUUCUAAUCACGGUCGGUGAGGCCUCGUUCUUUGCAUUGUAUUUAACUAUUUAUGGAUAUCAGAGAGAAUCACUUUGCCCCCAGACUUUCGGUAGAUCUUUUGUGGUGAACCAUGCAGAUUGCAGAUUUUUGUCAAAGUGUCCUCCGUAGUUUCAGAAAUGCGUCAAACGAGGACUGAUUCCGUCUGAACUCCGUUGGGCUAUGAAGGUUAAUGAAAGUUCAGACGGCAUUUAUGAAACCUUUGGGCCCUUUGACGAAAAUCUACAUAGGUCUCGCAAAGUAGAUUUACCG